UUGACGGUUUUUGGUUUGAUUCGGUUAAUAGCGAAAACCAAACUUGCGCUAAAACUUUUGCUUAGAAAUACAUGAAUUCGAGGUAUAAAUGCUAGAAAUAUAUGAAAAUACGAAUGGUUCGGUUCAGUUAAUUUUGGUUAAAGAUGGUACAAAAAAAUCGAUAACUGGUUUUGGUUAAUUCAGGUUUCGGUUAAUUCAGUUUAUGGUUGAUUUCGGUUCGGUUUCGUCUGUUUUUGGUUCAGUUAACGAUUCAGUUAUUGCUCACCCUUAGGCACUGUUAAUCACGUAACAUGUCAUUUUUUUAACAAAAAAUUAUAGCAAUACUAUACUC
RNAcentral lists this long non-coding RNA (331 nucleotides) under Helianthus annuus (common sunflower). RNAcentral describes it as "sRNA HanXRQr2_Chr04g0188371". The record is from RNAcentral. Lineage: Eukaryota; Viridiplantae; Streptophyta; Magnoliopsida; Asterales; Asteraceae.